Long non-coding RNA from Vitis riparia (riverbank grape), 3295 nucleotides. RefSeq lists it as uncharacterized. The record is from RefSeq and is a predicted model, not a curated record. The transcript is spliced from 2 exons. Lineage: Eukaryota; Viridiplantae; Streptophyta; Magnoliopsida; Vitales; Vitaceae.
AUGUCGGGAAAUUUCCCGAAAAAUCGGUAAAAAUACCGAUAAAUACCGAAAUAUCGGCGAUAUUUUCGAAAAAUUACCGAAAUUUCCGUUGACCGAUAAUCGGUGACGAAUAUUGUGUCGGAGCCGGCCAGCGAUUAAGUCAACCGGAAAAAAUGAAUGUGAACCGGCCAGCGAUUAAGUCAUUUGCUAGAACUUGUUCAAGGGAACAUAGUUCAGAGGGAGGUAGAGAGUAGUUGGAGAGAGACUCACUCAUUUGUGUUGACCUCUGUAUUUUGUGGGAAGAGAAGAAAACAAAGAGGAGAUAAUAAAGUCGUUGGUGUCAUCUGAUAAUCAAGAAAUUCUUUCCAUAGUUGCCAUUGUUGGGAUUGGGGGGUUGGGUAAGACCACCCUUGCCCGGUUGGUGUACAAUGAUGAGAAAGUGGUGCAAUUUUUUGAGCCUAGAAUAUGGGUUUGUGUUUCUGAUCAUUUUGAUGUGAAGUGGCUGGUAAAAAAAAAUUUAGGAUCCAUGAAUAUUCAAAACAUGGAAGGUUUUGAGUGGGAUGAUUUGAAAGAUAGGCUUCGGGAAGAACUGAGUCAAAAGAAGUACUUGCUAGUAUUGGACGAUGUUUGUGAUGAAUAUUUUGAGAAGUGGGAUCAGCUGAAAGCUUUGUUGAUGGUUGGUGCUGAAGGGAGUAAAAUUGUAGUCACCACUUAAAGUCAUGCUGCUGAAAGUGUUAUGCACAGUGCUUCCACCAUUAAUUUGCAACCUCUGGGAAUGGAUGAGUCUUUGUAUUUAUUUUCAAAAAUUGCACCUAGAAGAGAACAAGAGAAAGUACAUCCCAACCAUGAGGCAAUUCGAAGAGAAAUUGUUGAAAUGUGCAAGGGAUUUCCUCUUCCCAUUAAGACUUUAGGAGCAAUGUUGCACUUUAAAACUGAAGAAAGUCUAUUGUUGUCUAUUAAGGGAACUUUACAUGAAGAUAUUAAUCAUGGUAUUCUUCCACUUUAGAAGUUAAGCUAUGAUAAUCUGCCACUUCCUUUGAAGCAAUGUUUUGCUUAUUGUGCGUUAUUUCCGAAAGAUUAUGAAAUUGAGAAAAAGUUGUUGGUGCAAUUAUGGAUGGCACAAGGCUAUAUUGAAUCUUCAUAUGGAAAUGAGCGUUUAGAAGAUAUUGGCAAUCAAUACUUUGAAGAUUUAUUGUCUAGGUCAUUGUUUGAGGAGGUUAUAGAGGGUGUCAAUGAUAAUAUAAAAAGGUACAAAAUGCAUGACUUUAUCCAUGAUCUUGCACAAUCAGUUAUGGGAUUCAACGUUGGCAUUUUAACAGAUGAUAAGAAGAAUAUUUUUGGAGGCGUUAACCAUGUGUCAUUGUUUGGAGUCUCUGGGCCCUUACGUCUUGUAAUCAACUAUUUAGAGGCAAAAUCCUUAAAGUCCUUUUGUGUGUUUUCUUGCCAUGGUUGUAAAUAUGAACCAAUGGUGGAUACGUGGAUUUAAAGUUGCAAGUCUUUACGUGCCUUGGAAUUAAAAAUGUUGGAAGUUAAGAUAGUGCCUGUGUGUUUAGGCCAAUUACACCAUCUAAGGUAUCUUGAUCUUUCCUACAAUGAUUUUAUGGUACUCCCAGAGGCCAUUACAAGUUUUAAGGAAUUUGCAGACGCUAAAACUUGUUCAUUGUAGAAAUCUAAAAGGAUUUCCAAAAAAUACACGAGAAUUGAUCAAUCUUAGGCACUUGGAGAAUGAUGGGUGUAUAAACUUGACUUCUAUGCCAUUUGGAAUAGGAGAUUUGACUUUGCUUCAAAGCCUGUCCAUCUUUGUUGUUGGGAAUGGAAGGGGGCAUUCAAGGGAUAAUAAAAUUGGUAGCUUGAUUGAAUUGAAAAGGCUUAACAACCUAAGAGGAGAGCUAUACAUCAAAAAUCUUGAAAAUGUGAGGGAUGGUGCAUUAGAAACCAAGGAAGAAAAUUUGAAGAGAAAAAAAAUACCUGCAGUCUCUGAGAUUAGAAUGGGGGCCAAGUUAACAAGAAGCUGAGGAUUGUGAGUUAGUGAUGGAAAGCCUCCAGCCACACCCAUGCCUGGAGAAGCUCUAUGUAAAAGGCUAUGAAGGUGGGAGGUUUCCAAGUUGGAUGAUGGAUGAGUUGCAUUUGCGGCUCCCUAACCUACUUCAUAUUCAUUUAGAAGGAUGUAAAAGAAGCCAAAUUCUGCCAUCCUUUGCUCAACUCCCUUUUCUCCAGUCUUUGGAUCUUAAUGGUCUUGAUGAGGUGGAGUACAUGAUGGAGUGUUCAUCAAAACUGCCAUUCUUCCCAUCUCUUCAAAGACUCCAGCUCAGUUAUUUGUGUAAAUUGAAUAGAUUGUGGAGGACGGACUUACCAGCAGAGCAACUUCCUUUGUUUCCUUGUCUUUCUCAAUUAGUUAUUGAAUAUUGUGGUAAUUUGACAUCAUUGACACUCCCUUCAUCUCCUUGUCUUUCUAAAAUAGAGAUCACGUGUUGUGAUAACUUAACAUCCUUGCCACUGCCUCCAUUGCCUUGUCUUUCUAAAUAACAUAUCGAUCAAAUCCCUAAGUUGGCAUCCUUGGAACUGCAUUCAUCUCCUCAUCUUUGCUAUUUGUGUAUCAAAAGGUGCCCUUGACAUCCUUGAAAGUGUCUUCAUUACCAUGUCUUGAGGUACUAGACCUGUAUAGAGUCAGAGAGGAGGUAUGGCAACAACUGAUGUUUGUCUCUUCUUCGUUGAAGUCUCUGUCUAUUUGGCAACUUUAUGAGACUGUAUAGGCAACUCCGCAGCACUUUAUAGAAUUUGAAAUUGAUGACUGCCCUCAGUGAUGGAGAGUGAACUGAUUCAGAAAGCGAUUUCAGUCUGGAGUUUUGGGAAAACGAUGAGGUUUGAAUUUUCUCAGGGCUUUCAACUUGAUUGGGAGAGGAAUAGUGGAUUUAAAAUUCGUUGAAGCUUUGUUCAUGCCCAAACAACUUACAGAAGCACUCAUGUCUCCCGAAGUGCAUUUUCCUUCUAAUUACAGAAGCUUUGUUCUUAAGCUCAUUCUGAACUAUAGUGUUGGGUUCUUCCAAUUACAGUUGUUUUAAAAAUCUUUCCAAAUCUCUGUGUUUUAAAAAUCGGACCCAAACUGGAACCGGGGUCAAGAUCACCACCUUUUCCUUUUGUUUGUUUUUUUUUUUUUUUUGGGGAAAAUGGGCCAAAUUUCCCCUCACAGCCCAAUAGUCUGUGCCCACUCCUAUUAUUGCAAAAUGGACCAUUAGGGCCUACACUGGCCCACAUUGGGCACCAUGACCCAACAACCAUUUGGUUUUUGUUAAGAGGGAAAGAGGUUUAUAAAGCU